This 495-nucleotide ribosomal RNA is filed under the name uncultured bacterium. RNAcentral's name for it is "partial 16S ribosomal RNA". It matches the Rfam family "Bacterial small subunit ribosomal RNA", at positions 28 to 507 of the family's 1533-position model. The record is from RNAcentral.
GACGAACGCUGGCGGCGUGCCUAAUACAUGCAAGUAGAACGCUGAAGGAGGAGCUUGCUUCUCUGGAUGAGUUGCGAACGGGUGAGUAACGCGUAGGUAACCUGCCUGGUAGCGGGGGAUAACUAUUGGAAACGAUAGCUAAUACCGCAUAACAGUAGAUAUCGCAUGAUAUCUACUUGAAAGGUGCAAUUGCAUCACUACCAGAUGGACCUGCGUUGUAUUAGCUAGUUGGUGAGGUAACGGCUCACCAAGGCGACGAUACAUAGCCGACCUGAGAGGGUGAUCGGCCACACUGGGACUGAGACACGGCCCAGACUCCUACGGGAGGCAGCAGUAGGGAAUCUUCGGCAAUGGACGGAAGUCUGACCGAGCAACGCCGCGGGAGUGAAGAAGGUUUUCAGAUCGUAAAGCUCUGUUGUAAGAGAAGAACGAGUGUGAGAGUGGAAAGUUCACACUGUGACGGUAUCUUACCAGAAAGGGACGGCUAACUACGUG